AAGAUUUUAAUGAUGUCCGUGGCCUAGUGUCUUCCAGGUUUGAUCAGAUGAUGAAUGCAAUCAAUGAAAAUAAGGUACAACAUAUAUACAUUUACAACAUAUGUAUUUUUUUACAACUAAGUUGUUAUUUACUAUUUUUUUUAUUUAUAUUUUCAUGUUUUAAACGCGAAGAAACAAGCAAAAGGCAGCGAAUCUGAUCAUCCACUAGCGGAUGAAAAUGUUAAGAGUACAUCACCCCAUCAAGCGACUAUAAAGUUUGUUCAUGAUUUUAAUAAGAAUCCUGAAGG
This 287-nucleotide long non-coding RNA is filed under the name Capsicum annuum. RNAcentral describes it as "long non-coding RNA (CANN_LNC019706)". The record is from RNAcentral. Lineage: Eukaryota; Viridiplantae; Streptophyta; Magnoliopsida; Solanales; Solanaceae.